Molecule: long non-coding RNA, 1292 nt
Filed under: Calidris pugnax (ruff)
Lineage: Eukaryota; Metazoa; Chordata; Aves; Charadriiformes; Scolopacidae
Description: lncRNA (ENSCPUG00000005098.1)
Source: RNAcentral
CCACGUCGGCAGCUCAUUAAGUUUUUCCCGUUGUGGCAGCGGAUGUGGGUCAACGUUUGAGGUUUCGCUGUUGAUUUUUUUAAUUUCCUCUUCAAAACAGAUGAGUUUCCUCCCCUCCUCGCUGACGACAGAUGCCGCCGGGGGCCGGGCACGGCGGUGGGGCGACGGGACGCCACGGCUGAUGGCCCCUCGCCGGAGAUAGGCAGCGCUCGGUGGGGCUGCCCACUUGCCCCCCGUGCCGGGAGGUCCCUGUCCCACCCGGCACGGUGGCCAUGGAGGGCGCCUCCGUCCUCAGCCCUUCCUCAUGGGAGAAGCGCCGGGCCUGGGCCCGGCAGAGCCGCUGCUGGAGGACCACCGUGGUGGAGGAGGAGGCGGCCGCCGCCAUGCAGGACGUCCCCGAGCUGCAGCCACCCCACCUGGACGACGUCUUCCUGGAAGGUCGGGAGGAGGGGGACACCUCGGGGUGCUCGUGAGACGGGGGGUGGGCACCCACGUGCUGGGUGGUCUCACCUGGUGUUUCUGUUUCCCACCCACCCCCAGGAAGCCCCUCCAGUAAGAUAGAGACGUGGCUGCAAGAGUGCGGGUCGUCGAUGGAGGUCCCGCCGGAGGAGCUGGGCUUGCCAGGCCCCUGUGGUACGUCAGCUUUGUCCCCACAGAGCUCUGGGGGUGCUGGUGGUCCCUGCGUGUCCCCAAAGCCCCUGGGUGGUGGACAGGGAGGUCUUCAAGGACCUCGAGACCUGUCCCCAGCCCUGGUUGUCCCCACACCUCCAAAGGCUUUGCUCUCUCGCAGGGUGUGGGAGCAACGGGACCAGCUUCGAGGAUGACCUGACCCUGGGAGCUGAAGGUACCAGCCCCCCCGGGGCACGCCAGGGUGUCCCCUCCUGUGGUGUCACUGUCACCCUGCAGGCAGAGCUGCCCCAGGGGUUGGGGACAGGCAGGAGCAGACCCAGGGUGACAGCCACCAUCAGUAGCUUUUCCUCCUGGAGGGUUUUGGUGGGGCUGGGGUGCCCCCAGGCUCUGUGUCCACCCAAGGCUCUGGGCUGUGGCCACCGGGAAGGACAUGUCCCGGGGUGGCAGAUGUGGGACCUGUCCCCAGAACCCCCCCUCUCACUCCCUGUCACCUCUCUGUCCCUUUUCCCAGCUCUUCUGCUACCGGGGAGCAACAAGGCCACGGGCAGGUGAGGUUUGGGGUCCUGGGGGAGGAUGGCAGGGGGUUGGGGACACUUUCCCUGUGCACCCCCUUCGCUCAGCCCUGUCCCCCCCCUGCCACCCCAGAGCUCUGCGGGACAAGC